RNAcentral lists this ribosomal RNA (301 nucleotides) under uncultured bacterium. Its description in RNAcentral is "partial 16S ribosomal RNA". It matches the Rfam family "Bacterial small subunit ribosomal RNA", at positions 509 to 807 of the family's 1533-position model. The record is from RNAcentral.
CAGUAGCCGCGGUAAUACGGAGGGUGCAAGCGUUAAUCGGAAUUACUGGGCGUAAAGCGCACGCAGGCGGUUUGUUAAGUCAGAUGUGAAAUCCCCGAGCUUAACUUGGGAACUGCAUUUGAAACUGGCAAGCUAGAGUCUUGUAGAGGGGGGUAGAAUUCCAGGUGUAGCGGUGAAAUGCGUAGAGAUCUGGAGGAAUACCGGUGGCGAAGGCGGCCCCCUGGACAAAGACUGACGCUCAGGUGCGAAAGCGUGGGGAGCAAACAGGAUUAGAUACCCCAGUAGUCCCUGUCUCUUAUAC